This is a long non-coding RNA of Astatotilapia calliptera (eastern happy), 2028 nucleotides long. The record is from Ensembl. Lineage: Eukaryota; Metazoa; Chordata; Actinopteri; Cichliformes; Cichlidae.
UUUUUGGCCAUUUUUUGUAUAUUUUGAAAUAUAUUUCAAAAUGUAUUUUAAAAUAUAUUUUUUUACCGUAUGGGGGGAAACAAAGAAUGGUCCUACCGGCUCGCCACUUCAAUAUGAAGAAGAUUAAUUCAAAGGGAGGGAACAAAACCUGACCUGUAGGUCAGAAAAACGUCCAUUGGCACAUCAAGUUCGAUUCAGUUUACCGGUAAACAAAUAUAUUUUUCUGCAAGCCUAUGUAACAAUGCAAAUCAUCAUCAACCAAUGUACAACAGUUAAAUUAUUAAUUAUCUUGGCUACGUAGCUUAAUCUAUACAUUCCAGUAGCGUUCGCUACAAACAAUACAAAAACAACAAUAAAGGAAAACAGCUGUCUAACAGACAGCAUAGCCGAAUUCAAGGCAACACAUAACAAUAAUCAUUCAAUCGCACUUUGUUUCAAAGUAAGCCCAUUAAAGUGCUUAAGUAAAUAAAAGUGUUCAAAAACAGCGGUUUUUGAGCCGGAGUUCUGCUCGUGGUGGGAACGCCGCCGCACAAAGUCAUUUUUUAAUCGCGCAAACGAUCGGCUGGUUACUGACAACCAAAAGGUUGUUUUUGGUAGAUAUUAAAGAUCAUGGGUGGGCGGGGCAAAUGGAGCAGUUUUCUACAGUCGAGUAAAAUUCCAGGAAAGAGCUGGGUGUGGCUUUCCUUUAAAUCACAUGAUCAACAGCUUUAAGAUGGAGGCAACUCGCUCAGUGUUUCCUGUUUCAUUCUUAGACUGUGGCGAUGGCCGACCAAGAGCAAAAUAGAAGACAACAAUUUCUCAAAGGAGGUUGAAAACUAAUGCCUACAAGAUUACCAAGAGGAGGGUUCGGGGCUCUUACAUGACUCCGGGAAGUCAACACUUGGUGGAUGAGAUCCUUCACAGCAUGUUGUUUCUGGGCAAAAUCAACAACAUCCCCUUUUCUCCAGAAGAAAUCUUCCCUAAUCCUUUUGUUUUGGGUUCUUUAAUGAGAAGAUAUCCCAGGCCUUUAAAGUUGUAUUCGACUCAGCUUCCCAGGCGAAGUCCCUUCUCCUGUGUGCUCGACAUGAUCGUCCUGCAAAAUAACUCAGAGAAUGAAGAGCAAAUAAAGCAGAGUCUGCAAGAUCUCCUCACAGACUUGGACUUAGAAGAGAAUAAUAAAAAAACAGCUUUCGUCUCGUCCACCAUCUGCAUUUCUCAAAAAUCCCAAACCAACAAAUCAGAAAGGUACUGCGGAGUCUCCAUGUCCACCAAAGGUCCUAACGCUGGGAAAAUUAUGAUUGCUGCCUCCUGUCUUAGCAAAUGGCAUAAAUAUGUAUCUGGUGCGGUGAUGACCUAUUAUCCAAACACAGUCCAGAAAGAUUACUUUGAUGGAACAAUUGAAGUACCUGGAAAUAUCAGGUGUGAGGCUUUUUGUCUCCGUGAUGGUGCCAGAAUGAAGCCUUGCAGAUCAUGUAAGAAUUUGUUUGGCUUGAACACAGAAGACCUCAGAGAGUGGCCAUAUGGUAACUGUGCUGAAGCUGAGAGCCUGAGCAAUUUGCUUGAAAAUGAGAGAGAAGUUGAAACACAUGUGGAUGAAUACUCAGCUGAAAAGGACAACAGGCAGAGAGCUGAGGAUGAGGUUGGUAGGGUUCUUAGAACUGUGUUGCAAAGGAUUCGGUUUAACUGGACAGGUGAAUUUUACAACCCAGAACAAGAGUGAGAUUUCAUGAAAUCAUUUGCAUUCAUCAUUCUGAUAAAUCAAAGAUUCUCUGCUCUGACAGCAUCUGUGUGGAUUUUCUGUAAUCACAGAGACGUGUAUAAGCAUGUUUACUUUCCAUCUCCAUGUAAUUGUCACAUUUAAUAAUUAAAACUGGCUUCUAUGGGUUUUUGUUUGUUUGCUUACAUAUCUAGUGUUUAAUGCAAUAUGAAGCAUUAUCAGACAGCAUUUAUUGGGAAGAAUCCCAUGUUUAUACUGGUCUGUACCCAGGGUACACAGAAAAUAAAAACACAUGUUUUCUUAUUAUGAUCCCAACUAUAAUUUACUUAAGC